AGCGAACGUUAGCGGCGGGCUUAACACAUGCAAGUCGAGCGAGAAAGGUGGCUUCGGCUACCGAGUACAGCGGCGGACGGGUGAGUAACACGUGGAUAACCUGCCCUUCAGUGGGGGACAACCAUCCGAAAGGAUGGCUAAUACCGCAUACGUCAUGGGAAGCUGCGGCUUUCCAUGGGAAAGCUAGCCUCUGUUUACAAGCUGGCGCUGAAGGAGGGGUCCGCGUCGCAUCAGCUAGUUGGUGGGGUAAUGGCUCACCAAGGCAAAGACGCGUAGCUGGUCUGAGAGGAUGAUCAGCCACACUGGGACUGAGACACGGCCCAGACUCCUACGGGUGGCUG
Molecule: ribosomal RNA, 341 nt
Filed under: uncultured Pseudomonadota bacterium
Lineage: Bacteria; Pseudomonadati; Pseudomonadota
Description: bacterial SSU rRNA
Rfam family: Bacterial small subunit ribosomal RNA
Source: RNAcentral